AGAGCCCCCUCUCGGCUGCUGGCCCGGGCUCGCCCGCGCCGCUGGGGGCUCUGACUCCUGCCGAGCCGGGCCUGGGCAGCGCCCCCCGCGCCCCGCGAGCCCGCGCCCCCGUCACCGGGAAACGCCGUAGCCGGCGAUCCGCGGUCGCCCUGGGCUCGGCGCCGGCCCAGCCAGGACCCCGGGAGCGCACGGGACGGGCCUCGCCAGUCACACUCCAGCGCCCCCACGAGCCAGCACAGUGCCUGCUCUCAGUGAAAGGCCACUGUUCUCCUUGGGUGACCCCCAUGAUGCCUGACCGCUCCUCGUGCCUCCUGGAACAGCCAGGGUCCUUAUGAAGUGGUGACCACUCCAGUCAGCAGGGGUGGAAAAUGGUACCAGUCAAACCCGAGGCGGAGGAGGAGCAGCCCGCAGUCGCUGCCGCGAGAUGGAGGAGCCCACGCCCGAGCCCGUCUAUGUCGACGUAGACAAAGGGCUGACCUUGGCCUGCUUCGUCUUCCUCUGCCUCUUCCUUGUCGUGAUGAUCAUCCGCUGUGCCAAGGUCAUCAUGGACCCUUACAGCGCCAUCCCCACAUCCACCUGGGAGGAGCAGCACCUGGACGACUGAGGCACAGCGGCUGUGGGGACUGGACCUGGCGCUCUGUGGGUGGCUGUGCCCCAGGAUGCAUCCGUGUGUUCCCUGCCAGCCUGCCAUCCCACAGAGGCAAGGAAUGAAUCUGGCCACCCAGGGAAACAGAAGGUGCAGCUUAGCCCUCUCAGCCCUCCCUCGAGCACCAGCGUGGAAUGCCCGGGUGCCGUGGGUGUCGCAACCAUGGACCAGCCAGGGGAAAAGAGCCCUGGACCAGGACCCAGGAGGCUGGGGUUCCAGUGUGGGGAGUCCCUGUGAGAUGAUAGGGUAGUCACCUUCCCAGGUUCCUGGGCACCUUUUGGAACUGGAUCCAGCAACAGACACCCCCCAUCCAUCACAUAACAGUGGUCUUGUCUUGAGGAGACUCUCGGUCCUUUAAAUGCAAAGUAGCAAUGGAGGCUCCCAACCAAGAGGUCCCACCUGAACCCCAGCCCCCUCCCCAUGGACUAGCAGUGGUGUGGCAGUGAGGGGGGAAAGCGGGUUGAGGGAGUCUCACCUGAAAAUUCACAAAACGCACAGGAUAUGGGCUGCUUCCAAGCAGUAUUUUUUUAAACUAAAAUAUAGAGGGAUAUAUUUUUCCUGUUAUAAAUAAAAUGUACAUUUUAGAAACUUGGGAAAAUGCAGAUAAAUAGAAAGAAAGGGGGAGGAAAUAACACUUAUAAUCCCACCUCCCGGAAACCACCAUUUUGAUAUAUUUUCUUCCAGCCUUUUUACUUGUAUUUUUUAGUCAAAUUCAUACUCUGUGCAUGAUGUUGUAUCGCCUCAUAUGAUAGCAGGAAUACUUCCCCAUUACAUCAAACACUCUUCUUAGCUGCCAGUUUUAGUGACCGAAGGGCAUCCCAUCGGUUGGGUAGGUCAUGGUUAAAAAAUCAUCUCCUUUGGUUGCAUAUUUAAUUAUUUUCCACUAUUUUUUCCUCACACAAAAUGAUUUCGCCCGGUACCCUUUUUGGGGGUGCACAGUCCAUGAGAUGAAUAUUGAAUGGGGAGACCUGGGUUCUAGUCUCGCAUUUACCAGUCAGGUUACAAUGCGACCUUGAGCAAGUCACUUCACCUCCCAGCGCCUCAGUUUCCUCAUUGUAAGAUAGGAAAAGCCUUGUCAUUUUUAAAAUUUUAUUUUUUGCAUAUACCUCAUGUGAACGAAAGGACAGAAAGGGGAGUGAAUAUACUAUGAAUGUGCUAUAGUCGGAGUUGGGGGGCAAGGAAGAAGUCAUCGAUGAUGGCUCUUCUCAGGCCCUCCCUCCUCCCACCUCUUUCUGCCCUCCACCCCACUCCCACUCCAUCACCUACAUCUAUGACCUUGCAGCAAAAUCAUUAGAGCAGAGCCUACAAAACCGGCCCCAAGUCCCAAUUCCUCUACUUCCUUGUUAGAGGACCCCAAAUAACUCACUCAGCCUCUCUGAGCCCCAAUUUCCUCACCUGUAAAGUGAGGGAAUAACAUCUACCUCGCAAGGUUGUUGUGAGGACGAAAUGAGAGAACAUGGGCAAACAUGAAUGUUCUUGAAUUCACCACCCCAGGAGAAGCCAGGGGUCUGAGCUGGGAGGAGCAGAGGUUCUGGGUGCCCCCUGCCCCUACAGAGCCUGGCACCUUCAGCUUUUCUCAACUUCUGAGGGCUGCUUCCUACAGGCCAAAUCUCCCAGCCGGAACCACUUGGUCAGAGGAACACUCACAGCAGCCUUUCCCAGCACCUGACCUCAAGGGAUAUGGCGUCUACCAAUUUACAUAAUUGCCUUUGUCAUCAGUUUUCCCAUAACAUGGUACGAAGUUAAAUGAGAGCACCUGAGCUCCCCUUCCUCUGAGUGCAUUUAUUCCAUCCCUCCAAGCUGUGGCCUUCCAUCCCCAUCCAAGAGACCUGCAGCUGUGAAGAAGCUCAAGACUUCUUUCUCAUUGCCUGCCUCCCAGCCAUUAGUCCCCACCACAGCCCAGGCCACCUGGAAAAUGGGUUCCAAAGCACUAUCACUACUAGGUGACCCCUGAAUGUGGACAAGGCCACAGCUCUUCAGGCAGCAUUUCAGGGGCUAUCCAGUUGUCAUCCCUCUCAUACCCCUCUCCUACCCACCCCUAUCCCCACUAUUGUGGAAUGCACGAAGGGACAGCUGGCAAAGGCAGUGAACCAAGAUGCAGGGAAGGCCCUGUAUGAUGGGGAGGAUCUAAAGCAAAAGCCUUUUGUGCAUUGCCUCAGGUUCAGCAGCAGCAGCCCUCACUCUGAAGCCUACCUUGAGAAGCCAGGCAUUUCUGUGAAAAGCUCAUCAGCAUGCAUUUACAAUGCAAACUAGAACCAACUCCCAGUCAGCUAAUAACAGACCCCAGGAAAAAGAAAAGGUCUUCCAGACCUCCCCGACACACUUUAGAACCCUCAGGGGUGAAAAAGAGGGUGCUCCAGGGCAGUGCAACUUAAACUGUGGUUGAAGGACAAACAGCCUCUGCAAUACUUGAGGAGCUUGUUAGAAACCCAAACUCACAGCCCCCUCCAGACCUACGUACAGAAUGUAUAUUAGCAAGAUUCGCUAGGUGGUUUAUGUGCACGUUAAAGUUUAAGAAGCACUGCCUGAGAAUCCCUUGGUCCUAAUUAAUUCUUUUCCACACUCAGAUUUGCUAAUGGGUUUCACCUUAUCUCUUGACUCUUGUUUGAUGGCAACAGGAAAUAGUAGCAUUUCAGGAAGGGUGGAAAAUAUAAAAAGCACUCCCAACCCAAGCCUCCAAAAAACAGCAAUUUUCAUUUUGUGUCCAUAUAUUCCCUUCUAAUCAUUGUCCUCAUGCAAGAUUUUUUUUCAUAAAGAUGAUCUGCUACAUAAUUUUAUAUCAUACUCUUUCUCCUAACAUUACAUCACAAGUAUACUUUCAUGUUGCUGCUACAUUCUUCACACUUGUCAUUUUAAUGGCCAUAAAACAUGACAUCUAGUGCACAUAUAUAAUUAUGUAGACUCCUAUUAUUAAAUAUUUGGAUUUCUUCCAUUUUCCCUGUUGUACAUGUUCCAAGCAAAAAAAGAAAGAUCAAGAUAGAUAUGAUGAAGCCGGGGAGCUUGCUUAAGACAGGGGAGAAUAAAUACUUACAGUACACUCUCUCCAUUUAAGAGACACAUGGAGCACAUGGGGGAGGGAGACCUGUCUAAGAACUGGAUCAUAUUAAGGAGAAAAAAGCAACUGGAAUCUCAGGCUUCAGUUGUUGCAUUAUGCUGCUGAAGCAUAGAGGAGAUGGUCCUUUGUGAUCAGAGCGUCUCAACUCGUUUCUGGCAAGCUAAGAUGAACUUUGGGGUUGUGGAUAGAAAGAUAAACUGAUCUGCAAAAGAAAUGCACAGAAGUAUUGAAGGCUAGAAGUUGGCAGACAAGAAAUGAAAAGCAUUUAGAGAAUGGGAGGCCUGUGAAGGUAGCCACAACCCAGGACUUAAGGAGAACACAGGCUGGAGAGGAACUCUCCAAAGCAGAGAAUGGGUGGUGGGUUUUCCAGGCAAUGGUGCCUAGUGGCCAGUUUUAAGUUGUUGCUUGUACUGUGCUCAGCUACACUCCCUUCAUGUUGCCCCAAGCCCUCUCUAAAGUCUGAUAAAUGAUCCACCACUCUGCAGCAGUGGUCUUUGGGACAAUGAAGACACCUCGGUGGUGGGUCACUUAGGGAAAUACAAUCUGGAAGGGGCCAACAGUCCCAGAGACAAGUGGGGUAGCAGAAAUAUGCAGAACCAAGAGUUCAGAGUGAUGGUCACUAGAAGAAAUGUGGCCUCUAAGGAUGCUCAGACAGGUGGAUAUGUAUAGUAGGACCCUAGCUUUACCAUCCUGGCAUAUCAUUCCCAUCAUAGCUAUUUCAUUUUUUUCCAAUUAGUUGCUGAAAUGUCUACAUGUUCUUAUCGAGUUGAAAGAUCAGUGUCUCCCUGUCUCAUUAAAUUUCCAGAACUUCAGAGGCUAAAUCAAUCCAAAAGGGGCUGGCCCUGCUUUCAAACACCAAGUGAAGAGAACUACAAAGUUUGGUGUGUCCACUAGUGUGGUUUCAUACCCCCUAGGUCUUGCUGUUGAGGACUGGUUCUGCCAGGCAUGAUCAAUGACCACCCACAAUGUCCUGUGGCCCAGCCUGUGGAGAGGUGCCCAAACAGAGUUAUCUGGGUCCACAUCCAUGUGCCCAGCUAUUCUGUCCAAUCAUAGCACAAAGACAGGUUGCCUGUGUCCAGAGGGACACACAGCCUCAGGCACACCAGCCCUUACUUAUGAGCUUGAUGGUCAUCAGCAAAGACUCUCUCCCUUUAGGAGGGUUCUCCUUGGGACUUUUCAGUGUCUUGGCAGGAAAGAGAUGGCACACACGAAGCACUGAUUGAAGACAGUUUAAUGAAAGAAUAUUUACAGAGGUUGGGCAAGGGUAUGGAAAACAACAGGGAACAGUAAAACACCCAGGGAUGACAAGGCAAGGUAGCUCAUGUCUGUAAUCUCAGCACUUUGGGAGGCCAACACAGGCAGAUUGCUUGAGCCCAGGAGUUUGAAACCAGCCUGGCAACAUAAGCAAGAAUCUGUUUAUCUACAAAAAAUAAAAUAAUUAAAAAAAAAUUACCUGGCUGUGGUGUUGCACACCUAUAGUCCCAGCUACUCAGGAGUCUGAGGUGGGAGGAUCACUUGAGUCCAGGAGUUUGAGGUUACAAUGAGCUAGGAUCACACUACUGCACUCCAGCCUAGGCGACAAAGAGAGAUGCUGUCUCUAAAAAUAAAAAACAAAAACAAACUACCCAGGAACAGGCAGGCCACCAACUGUUACCAUCUCUUGCCUAGAGAGACAAGGAGAAGGAUCUAGAACCCAGGGAGAGCUAUAGCCAUGGAGAAGGAGUCACCCAAUGGAAGCCCUGGCCACAGCUAGAGGAUCAAAACUCCUGCACCCACUGCAGCUCAGUAGGAAGAGAGCUGGGGGAAUAAAUACCUUGACCUCUUGCCUCCUGCCCUCCAAUCUCCUGUCUGGGUCUUCCAUUGGCCAAAAACAACAGAAGCUAAAGGUCAGGGGACCCUGGGUGAUACGGUCCACAUAGGCAGCACACUGGAGCAAAAGAAGAAAAACCAGCACAAUUCAUCUUAUUACCACUUAGCAGCCAUUCACAAACUUUGCUUAGAUGGGAGAAAAAUAUUUUGUCCCCGGCACAGGGGAAACAUAAAAUCUCACCAGCAGCCAUAUUGUCUGGGGGUGAUAGCAAUUUAGUCCCACUCCCUCCUGCAACUUAAAUCAUAAUGUAGCCAGUCCCGGGUAAGUGGAACACUUCCUGUAAAGCACAACUGCUAGUGCCCCCUUCUGUGGCUGGUCAUGAGGCCCAGAGUGGUAACUGCAGUCUUGUUCUCCCACCACCCAUUCCAUAGCCCCUCUACUUUCUGGCAGUCCCUUAGCUGUUGGAGAAUUUUAUCUGGUGGAAUGACCCAAAUCUUCAUCCACAGAGGAUUCAAAUUCUUAGUGCCGUGUCUUCAAUGAGUUGCCACAGUAUCCACAGAUUCCUAAAGAACAUGAAGAGGCCUUGAAGAUCUCACCUGGAAGCUCUGUAAAAUUAUCAGAAAGAAUAGCAGGUGCUCUAGGGCAACACUACUCAAACUAUGGUCCACGGAUGGACAGCAUUGGCAUCUCUGGGGAGCUUGUUAGAAAUCUAAUUUCAUGCCCCCACCUCAGGCUUACAGAAUGAGGACAAGGGAUACAGGGAGUACCAAGUGCCCUAGCGAAUCCCAGGGUUCCAAAGCUAGUACUCCUUGCCCCUAUUGUGUAGCAGAAACCCCACUUUCCCUUGGAUAUUGGGGUUAACCAUCCUGACAGUGCAGUGAUCUCUUUCUCUGCCAAUAUUUCAACAUAAGGAGCCCCAGAUGGCACAAGAUCAUCUUCCAAUUUAACAGACCCAUAACUAUAUUCCCUGGUGGAAGCAGUUCCUCUUGGUCACUAGAGAUUUCCAAACCCACAAAACCUAAGGUUUCUUGGUUAAAGGCCAUGUUUGUGGGAUAUGCUGAGAUGAAUAUGCUGUGGUUUGAAUGUGUCCCCCAAAGUUCAUAUGUUGGAAACUUGAUUCCCAUUGCAACAGUGUUGAGAUCUGGGGCCCAAUGAGAGGUGAUUAGGCCAUGAGGGCGGAGUGAAUGGAUUAAUGCAGUUAUCUCAAGAGUGGGUUUGUUAUGAAGGGGGUGUUUGGUCCUCUUUUCUCUCUUGCCCAUGUGAUUCCUUCCACCAUGUUUAUGAUGCAACAAGAAGGUCCUCACCAGAUGCUGGUUCCUUGAUCUUGUAUUUUGCAGCCUCCAAAAUCGUGAGCCAAAUAAAUUUCUAUUCAUUAUAAA
This 6890-nucleotide long non-coding RNA is filed under the name Homo sapiens (human). RNAcentral's name for it is "non-protein coding LINC00927:54". The record is from RNAcentral. Lineage: Eukaryota; Metazoa; Chordata; Mammalia; Primates; Hominidae.